CACAAACAAAGAACUUGGAAGGGUACUCUGCCGCUCACUUCUCCCAACGUUUAUCAUCAGCCUCUGCUGUCUUUGGAGCUUCAUUGCCUCCUUCUCUGAACUGGAAAAUCCUACCAGAAGUCACAACACUGAAGACCAAAGUUGAGGCUGGUAGUGCUACUACCAAGCCUACUAAGCUAUUACCAUCCUACUAAGGGGAUAGUAAGUUUUCUGAGGAGCAAUACUUUCAACCUGGUUGACUUUGGGCAAGCCACCUAACCUCCAUGGACCUGGAUUUCUUCAUCUGCACCAGGAGGAGAUCGGAUCAGAUGGCCUCUUAGGAACCUUGGAAGGAAAGAAGCAAUUGUGAGAGGCUUUGGCAAAUGCCUGGCUGAAAUUCAGCGUGCAAUAUGAGCAGGUAAGAACUCCCUUUUCUACGGAGCCUUAAGGUUUGCAAAAAAC
This 441-nucleotide long non-coding RNA is filed under the name Vombatus ursinus (common wombat). RNAcentral describes it as "lncRNA (ENSVURG00010015514.1)". The record is from RNAcentral. Lineage: Eukaryota; Metazoa; Chordata; Mammalia; Diprotodontia; Vombatidae.